RNAcentral lists this ribosomal RNA (433 nucleotides) under uncultured bacterium. RNAcentral describes it as "partial 16S ribosomal RNA". It matches the Rfam family "Bacterial small subunit ribosomal RNA", at positions 29 to 507 of the family's 1533-position model. The record is from RNAcentral.
AACGAACGCUGGCGGCAGGCCUAACACAUGCAAGUCGAGCGGACACUUCGGGGUUAGCGGCGGACGGGUGAGUAACGCGUGGGAAUAUGCCCUUCUCUACGGAAUCGUCCUGGGAAACUGGGGGUAAUACCGCAUACGCUCUUUGGGGGUAAGAUCUAUCGGGGAAGGAUUAGCCCGCGUUGGAUUGGGUAGUUGGUGGGGUAAUGGCCUACCAAGCCGACGAUCCAUAGCUGGUUUGAGAGGAUGAUCAGCCACACUGGGACUGAGACACGGCCCAGACUCCGACGGGAAGCAGCAGUGGGGAAUCUUAGACAAUGGGGGCAACCCUGAUCUAGCCAUGCCGCGUGAGUGAUGAAGGCCUUAGGGUUGUAAAGCUCUUUCAGCUGGGAAGAUAAUGACGGUACCGGCAGAAGAAGCCCCGGCUAACUCCGUG